AGAGAGAUUUUUCCGUGCGGGUUUGUGUGCCUUAACAGCAACAAAAAGUUAGGCAGUGGAAAUCAACUCAGGGGUGUUGCUAAAGUCAACUGUCCCAUCUUUAUUUUUCUUUUUUUUAAAAAAAAAAUCCACCUGGAGGAGGAGGAGCAGCAACAACUAAUCCGUGAGAAGGAAAGAAGUUAUAGGAAAAGCGCUGCGAUGGAGCCAAUACUUGGGAAAGUUGGGUUUGUGGAUGCGCGCCUGGUUUCCAAGUCGCAGGAGUCCAGCAGGGAAAGGGUUACUUUGCUUUUGGGAAGUUCGAGACACUCUCAGAAGGAUACUCUCCCUGCUCGGUGUUCACCCUCUCUAACCCUCCCCUCGCUGCCCUAUUUGUAGUUGUGUAUCUGGUAUUUGCUGUUCGAUGUAGAACCGGAGCGAAGCCAUUUUUAAGGGAAGAGUAACAUUUCAGGCAAAAGGAACUAUUCUGUCCGAUUGUUUCGGGAAACCGUCGUUUCAAACAGGCAAACUCGUGGAUUGCGUCUUCGACGGAAUAUUUCGUGUGUCCAGAUACACAUGCCUCAAUGUCCUCUGGGUUCAGCUGGGUUUGUACAAAGAGGUGAAGUCUACUGUCUGAAAGCAGAAGAGGAUUCUGCAGAAUCCUUUAAAGAAAAUAAAGAGAAAAAAUGAACCACCUUCCGAUAUCAUUUUUUCAACAAUGUCUUCCUUUUAAAAAUAUUUUUAACUCAACUUCCAAUACAGUUUUGAAUCCAGUAUAUAUGUUGGCAUGGUUGGAUGUGUGCUUUUCUUUAAUAAAUUAUUUGGAAUUUUAGGUGAAUAAAAGCAUGGCACUAAUAGUUUUGAACAUCUGUUAUAAGAAUAAUUCCAAGGGCAUUUUUUCCCAUUUAACCAUCUGCUACUACCAUGUGGAUCAAUUACUUUUUUGGCUGGGGCGAAAGGGCUGAAAUAACAUACUACUAUGGAAACUGGUUCAGAAUCAGUUACUUUGUAUACACAUCAAAAACAUUACGAAGUCUAAGGCGCUGUAAGAUUUGGACCUUCAAAUGCCUCUGUAAAACAGAAAUCAUUUAAUGCGCAAAUGCAAAAAAUAUGUAUUUUAAAGAUAUGUACAAAUUGAA
Long non-coding RNA from Podarcis raffonei (Aeolian wall lizard), 1115 nucleotides. RefSeq lists it as uncharacterized. Lineage: Eukaryota; Metazoa; Chordata; Lepidosauria; Squamata; Lacertidae. The record is from RefSeq and is a predicted model, not a curated record. The transcript has 2 exons.